GCCGCCUUAGCUCAGUCGGUAGAGCAACGCACUCGUAAUGCGUAGGUCAUCGGUUCGACUCCGAUAGGCGGCUCCG
This 76-nucleotide transfer RNA is filed under the name Micrococcales bacterium. RNAcentral's name for it is "tRNA-Thr". It matches the Rfam family "tRNA". Rfam says of the family: Transfer RNA (tRNA) molecules are approximately 80 nucleotides in length. Their secondary structure includes four short double-helical elements and three loops (D, anti-codon, and T loops). Further hydrogen bonds mediate the characteristic L-shaped molecular structure. tRNAs have two regions of fundamental functional importance: the anti-codon, which is responsible for specific mRNA codon recognition, and the 3' end, to which the tRNAs corresponding amino acid is attached (by aminoacyl-tRNA synthetases). tRNAs cope with the degeneracy of the genetic code in two manners: having more than one tRNA (with a specific anti-codon) for a particular amino acid; and 'wobble' base-pairing, i.e. permitting non-standard base-pairing at the 3rd anti-codon position. Lineage: Bacteria; Bacillati; Actinomycetota; Actinomycetes; Micrococcales. The record is from RNAcentral.